This 442-nucleotide ribosomal RNA is filed under the name Bacillus sp. F350. RNAcentral describes it as "bacterial SSU rRNA". It matches the Rfam family "Bacterial small subunit ribosomal RNA", at positions 117 to 545 of the family's 1533-position model. RNAcentral also lists the same sequence under 1 other name. Lineage: Bacteria; Bacillati; Bacillota; Bacilli; Caryophanales; Bacillaceae. The record is from RNAcentral.
GUGGGCAACCUGCCUGUAAGACUGGGAUAACUUCGGGAAACCGAAGCUAAUACCGGAUAGGAUCUUCUCCUUCAUGGGAGAUGAUUGAAAGAUGGUUUCGGCUAUCACUUACAGAUGGGCCCGCGGUGCAUUAGCUAGUUGGUGAGGUAACGGCUCACCAAGGCAACGAUGCAUAGCCGACCUGAGAGGGUGAUCGGCCACACUGGGACUGAGACACGGCCCAGACUCCUACGGGAGGCAGCAGUAGGGAAUCUUCCGCAAUGGACGAAAGUCUGACGGAGCAACGCCGCGUGAGUGAUGAAGGCUUUCGGGUCGUAAAACUCUGUUGUUAGGGAAGAACAAGUACAAGAGUAACUGCUUGUACCUUGACGGUACCUAACCAGAAAGCCACGGCUAACUACGUGCCAGCAGCCGCGGUAAUACGUAGGUGGCAAGCGUUAUC